Molecule: small RNA, 2031 nt
Filed under: Pan troglodytes (chimpanzee)
Lineage: Eukaryota; Metazoa; Chordata; Mammalia; Primates; Hominidae
Description: retained intron
Source: RNAcentral
GGUGACAGUGCUGACGCUACAAGGCUCGGAGCUCCGGGCACUCAGACAUCAUGAGUUGGUCCUUGCACCCCCGGAAUUUAAUUCUCUACUUCUAUGCUCUUUUAUUUCUCUCUUCAACAUGUGUAGCAUAUGUUGCUACCAGAGACAACUGCUGCAUCUUAGAUGAAAGAUUCGUAAGUAGUUUUUAUGUUUCUCCCUUUGUGUGUGAACUGGAGAGGGGCAGAGGAAUAGAAAUAAUUCCCUCAUAAAUAUCAUCUGGCACUUGUAACUUUUUAAAAACAUAGUCUAGGUUUUACCUAUUUUUCUUAAUAGAUUUUAAGAGUAGCAUCUGUCAACAUUUUUAAUCACUGUUAUAUUUUCAGGGUAGUUAUUGCCCAACUACCUGUGGCAUUGCAGAUUUCCUAUCUACUUAUCAAACCAAAGUAGACAAGGAUCUACAGUCUUUGGAAGACAUCUUACAUCAAGUUGAAAACAAAACAUCAGAAGUCAAACAGCUGAUAAAAGCAAUCCAACUCACUUAUAAUCCUGAUGAAUCAUCAAAACCAAAUAUGAUAGACGCUGCUACUAUGAAGUCCAGGAAAAUGUUAGAAGAAAUUAUGAAAUAUGAAGCAUCGAUUUUAACACAUGACACAAGUAUUCGAUAUUUGCAGGAAAUAUAUAAUUCAAAUAAUCAAAAGAUUGUUAACCUGAAAGAGAAGGUAGCCCAGCUUGAAGCACAGUGCCAGGAACCUUGCAAAGACACGGUGCAAAUCCAUGAUAUCACUGGGAAAGGUAACUGAUGAAGGUUAUAUUGGGAUUAUGUUCAUCAAAGUAAAUAAUGUAAAGGAGAAAGUAUGUACUGGAAAGUAUAGGAAUAGUUUAGAAAGUGGCUACCCAUUAAGUCUAAGAAUUUCAGUUGUCUAGACCUUUCUUGAAUAGCUAAAAAAAACAGUUUAAAAGGAAUGCUGAUGUGAAAAGUAAGAAAAUUAUUCUUGGAAAAUGAAUAGUUUACUACAUGUUAAAAGCUAUUUUUCAAGGCUGGCACAGUCUUACCUGCAUUUCAAACCACAGUAAAAGUCGAUUCUCCUUCUCUAGAUUGUCAAGACAUUGCCAAUAAGGGAGCUAAACAGAGCGGGCUUUACUUUAUCAAACCUCUGAAAGCUAACCAGCAAUUCUUAGUCUACUGUGAAAUUGAUGGGUCUGGAAAUGGAUGGACUGUGUUUCAGAAGAGACUUGAUGGCAGUGUGGAUUUCAAGAAAAACUGGAUUCAAUAUAAAGAAGGAUUUGGACAUCUGUCUCCUACUGGCACAACAGAAUUUUGGCUGGGAAAUGAGAAGAUUCAUUUGAUAAGCACACAGUCUGCCAUCCCAUAUGCAUUAAGAGUGGAACUGGAAGACUGGAAUGGCAGAAUCAGUACUGCAGACUAUGCCAUGUUCAAGGUGGGACCUGAAGCUGACAAGUACCGCCUAACAUAUGCCUACUUCGCUGGUGGGGAUGCUGGAGAUGCCUUUGAUGGCUUUGAUUUUGGCGAUGAUCCUAGUGACAAGUUUUUCACAUCCCACAAUGGCAUGCAGUUCAGUACCUGGGACAAUGACAAUGAUAAGUUUGAAGGCAACUGUGCUGAACAGGACGGAUCUGGUUGGUGGAUGAACAAGUGUCACGCUGGCCAUCUCAAUGGAGUUUAUUACCAAGGUGGCACUUACUCAAAAGCAUCUACUCCUAAUGGUUAUGAUAAUGGCAUUAUUUGGGCCACUUGGAAAACCCGGUGGUAUUCCAUGAAGAAAACCACUAUGAAGAUAAUCCCAUUCAACAGACUCACAAUUGGAGAAGGACAGCAACACCACCUGGGGGGAGCCAAACAGGCUGGAGACGUUUAAAAGACCGUUUCAAAAGAGAUUUACUUUUUUAAAGGACUUUAUCUGAACAGAGAGAUAUAAUAUUUUUCCUAUUGGACAAUGGACUUGCAAAGCUUCACUUCAUUUUAAGAGCAAAAGACCCCAUGUUGAAAACUCCAUAACAGUUUUAUGCUGAUGAUAAUUUAUCUACAUGCAU